This 692-nucleotide long non-coding RNA is filed under the name Chinchilla lanigera (long-tailed chinchilla). RNAcentral's name for it is "lncRNA (ENSCLAG00000022993.1)". Lineage: Eukaryota; Metazoa; Chordata; Mammalia; Rodentia; Chinchillidae. The record is from RNAcentral.
AUGGGCUCUGGCCCUUGCUUGCAUUACAGAUGGGAAGACCAGACCCCAAGAGAGACAGUGACGUGUCCAGAGCCACACAGCCGGCAAGAGGCAGACACGGCCUGUAUCCUGGCUCCACUGGUCAUGCAGGAAAGCCGGUACCCCCAGAGCAAAGGGACCUAUCCCCAAAGGUCUAGACGCUCCAGAAGUAGGUGCAGCAUCUCUGUGGUCAGAUGCAGGUGGAGGAAUUGGAAGUCACCGGAGAAUCCUCGAGGCCUGUUGCUACCUUCAGGACUUCAGAGGAAAGGAUCUGGUGAGGACCAGGCUCAUAUGCCAGGACACCAGCUGCCAUGGUGCCUAUUUGGACAGCAGAGUUGUCCUUGUUCUGGAGAAAGGGCAGAGAUGUGGACACUGCCCAGAGCAUCCUGUUUAAAAAGCUGCAGAAAUGGGCCUUGACCCUGAAGGCUACAGUACCUACUUGACCACAGGAGUCCCUGCUGCCUCUGAACCUCUCCUGUCUCAGCCUCCUGUGCCCGUUCACCUCCACCAUUGGCCCACACCUGUCCCAGGCUGUUAAGGUGAAGGCACACUUUGAAUAAAAGUAUCACUUCUUGCAGAGCUGCAGAAUCCUCCUUCACUUCCACGUGCCUUCCUGUCUCAUCCGCCAAGAAGUAUGCAGUUAUGCAGUCUGCAUUUUGGCUCCAAGGGCUUCA